RNAcentral lists this transfer-messenger RNA (383 nucleotides) under Sphingomonas panacisoli. RNAcentral describes it as "Sphingomonas sp. HKS19 transfer-messenger RNA". It matches the Rfam family "Alphaproteobacteria transfer-messenger RNA". Rfam says of the family: Bacterial tmRNA, also known as 10Sa RNA or SsrA, is named for its dual tRNA and mRNA-like properties. The record is from RNAcentral. Lineage: Bacteria; Pseudomonadati; Pseudomonadota; Alphaproteobacteria; Sphingomonadales; Sphingomonadaceae.
CCACUUUUCUUUAAGCGCCAAGCGCCUAUAUUGGUCGGUGCAAGGGCUUCGGCCCGGCUAUGGCGAUAAACGACGGCGUAUAAUAGACGCAGCGGACCCGGGGGCAGUACCCGGCGGCUCCACCAUAUGCCCCUGAUAACACAGGGGUUUCUGACGGGGCCGAACCAGGAUCGACGUGUGUUGAAAGGCGCUGACUUUUGCUCGGAAUGGGACCACCGUGACGGCCCGUACACAAGUGCCAACGAUAACGAAGCACUCGCUAUGGCGGCCUAACCCCACGGCCUAACGGCCUAAGGUUAGACUAAAAUGCGCGGUCGGACCCACCGGGCAACAGAAGGGAAUCCAGCGGUUCGGGGAGCACCGGGCAACAGAAGCUCCCCACU